Long non-coding RNA from Pipistrellus kuhlii (Kuhl's pipistrelle), 372 nucleotides. RefSeq lists it as uncharacterized. Lineage: Eukaryota; Metazoa; Chordata; Mammalia; Chiroptera; Vespertilionidae. The record is from RefSeq and is a predicted model, not a curated record. The transcript is spliced from 3 exons.
ACUGGAAAUCGAACCCGAAACUCGGGCAUAUGCUCUUGACCGAAAUUGAACCCGGGACCCUUCAGUCCGUAGGCCAAUGCUCUAUACACUGAGCAAAACCAGCUAGAGCUUCUUAAUGGUUUUUAAAUAUACGAGAGGAAAAACUAGAGUUACUAUCAUCUAGGUUGUUUUCCUCUAAGACAAAUAUAUUUUUUUAUUUCAGACAGAUUUUCAGGAAUUGCCAGUCAGAAUUUCAGAGCUAAUUUACUAUUUAAAAUAGAAUAAUAUUGGAGGUUCUUAUUCCAACUACCUCUUUUUAAAUCUCUUCAUCUAGUUAGGAAUGGUAGUAAUUUAUUGGAAAAGUGUCCGUGUUCUUAUUCACUCUCUUCAUCC